CUACGGGGCGCUGCAGUGGGGAAUAUUGCACAAUGGGCGCAAGCCUGAUGCAGCCAUGCCGCGUGUAUGAAGAAGGCCUUCGGGUUGUAAAGUACUUUCAGCGGGGAGGAAGGGAGUAAAGUUAAUACCUUUGCUCAUUGACGUUACCCGCAGAAGAAGCACCGGCUAACUCCGUGCCAGCAGCCGCGGUAAUACGGAGGGUGCAAGCGUUAAUCGGAAUUACUGGGCGUAAAGCGCACGCAGGCGGUCUGUUAAGUCAGAUGUGAAAUCCCCGGGCUCAACCUGGGAACUGCAUCUGAUACUGGCAGGCUUGAGUCUCGUAGAGGGGGGUAGAAUUCCAGGUGUAGCGGUGAAAUGCGUAGAGAUCUGGAGGAAUACCGGUGGCGAAGGCGGCCCCCUGGACGAAGACUGACGCUCAGGUGCGAAAGCGUGGGGAGCAAACAGGAUUAGAUACCCGCGUAGUC
This 464-nucleotide ribosomal RNA is filed under the name uncultured bacterium. Its description in RNAcentral is "partial 16S ribosomal RNA". It matches the Rfam family "Bacterial small subunit ribosomal RNA", at positions 339 to 795 of the family's 1533-position model. The record is from RNAcentral.